Molecule: long non-coding RNA, 390 nt
Filed under: Musa acuminata (dwarf banana)
Lineage: Eukaryota; Viridiplantae; Streptophyta; Magnoliopsida; Zingiberales; Musaceae
Description: long non-coding RNA (MACU_LNC002445)
Source: RNAcentral
GGAAGAGAUCUUCUCGGCGUUGGAUGCGACGAUGUACCGCCCAGAGUCGGCGUGGAUCAGCGAGGCCUCCGCCCGCGAGAACGCGGCCCUCACCCGGGCCCUCCAGAUCUCCCUCUCCGACACCACCACCACCACCUCCUCCUCCGCCUCCGCCGACACUCUCUCCUCCCCUCUCCUCCUCUUCAACCAACAGUUCAUUCCCCCCUCUUCCUCCUCCUCCUCCUCCUCCUCCGCCGCCGCCGCCGCAGACGCAAUCCUCCACCGGCGGGGCGCCCUCGGCCCCGCCCCCGCGGGGCGGGUCUCGAAGCGGAAGUCGCGCGCAUCGAAGCGGUCUACCACCACGUACAUCGACGCCGACCCCGCCAACUUCCGGGAGUUGGUGCAGCGGGU